Molecule: ribosomal RNA, 5243 nt
Filed under: Triticum aestivum (bread wheat)
Lineage: Eukaryota; Viridiplantae; Streptophyta; Magnoliopsida; Poales; Poaceae
Description: partial small subunit ribosomal RNA
Source: RNAcentral
AUUUGUAUUUUUUUUAUUUUCCUUACUCCCCUCCAGCGACUGCACACCCGGAGGCGGCCGAUAGGUGGUGGUGGUGCGUGACUGACCAACUAAGGAUGCCAAACAGUGUCCGGUUGUCGGCCUCGAGCGAGCGGCCGCGAACAGGUCAGGUGCGUGUACCGCUGAGGCUGGUGCUCGGCAGAGGUGCAGGUGGAGGAGGGGCGGGAGGGUAGGACGGGUGGAGCGCGAGGCAGGAGGAGUCGGGGUAGUCGAGCCCCUGGGUCGGCAGCCGAACGGAGGGCCGAGAUGACGAGGAGCGGCGGCCACCUUCGCGGCGGCAGGCCGUUCCCGCCGCUCAUGGCCGGGAGGAAGCGGCUGCUGAAGGAGGAGCAGAAGAAGGCCCGGUUCUACCACCUCCUCCAACCCACCCUAAGAGUUUUCGGACCUAUGCUGCCCGACUAACUUCAACGCUUAGCGGAAUACUAGUUCCCCUUCUUACGAAGCCUCUGACUCGUUAGUCGACAGGCUCAUGAGGUCCGUGAUAAGGGGGGAGACAACGAUCAGGAAAAGUUUCGUGAAAAUCGUGGUUAACGAUUACCGGUUGAACGUAGGUACUACCAUCGAUCUCGUUGUCGCGAAAGAACGGUUACCGACUACCCGUGUACAAGUCACUUAAGACACCGUGACGGGUUACCCUUCAGCAACAGUUCACCCCACAAACAGCUCUUCACAUUUAUAAACCUUCUCUCGUUUACAGAACCGUAAACAUAGUUAUGCACGUUUGACGGUUGGGUCUGGAAGAAGUUGCUAGUGUACCCGCAGCUAAACAUAUACCUCGGUUUAAAACUUCUGAUAUCGACGGUCAAGUUGAAACCUCAAGGUGGGGGUGGAUAGCUGUGGCUGUUCCGGGACUUCCUUGGUACGAACCUGUAUACGUGUUUGCGCUCUGCCGCGUCUCUCGAACCGUCGUCGCCACCGGGUCUACCAGAUACGGGGGUCCAAACUAGACGACAAAGGGCUUCAUACAUACGAGGGAGGUAAGGUAUUACAUCACAGAUAUCUAAAAAACCUUUCAGUUUGUAACAUUAGUUCAAACAUCUCUUUUGAUAAAUGUAAAUGUCAUGGUUUAUAUAUUUUAUACUUUGAUGCAGAAUACUACUUAGAUUACUAUAUACAAAGCGUAAGAUCUACAUUUAUAAAAAGAGGUGUUUGAACCAGUUUCAACUACUCGAAACUCAAAAGUUUUUUAGGAGCAUAUACAAAAUCAGGGAGUUUAGGAGCAUACUAUUUCAACUUCCUAAACAGCUUAUUGUUCCAACCCGUGACGAAUGUGUUUCUGCUACUUACUUAGAGCAUACUAGACGUACAUGUUCAUUUCUUUUCUUAAUCGUGUGUGAAAAGGGGGUACGGUAGAAAUAGCGACUGCCUUCGAUGCCUAUAUAAACAUAUAUUCGUAUGAUGUAAGACGCAAUCUAAGGUAAGACGGGGAGAUAUACAUCGGGACGUAUACAAAUUUCACUAGUAGGUGGUAGUAGUGCUUACUACCGAUCUCUCGCUCCACCUCCGUACUGGCCGUCGCCGCUGCAGCGCCACGUGUAGCUUGUAGACCGCGCGUCGGACUACGUCUUCGUCCUCCUGCACCGCCGCCUCCUCGUUGUGGCCUGGUACCACUCGUCUGUGGCCCACAGGGCACAGGGACGGGCAGUGGCACUGUCGUUGGGGCUGCGGAUGUGCGGCACCAAGCAACGGUAACCGGGCGAAGUGUUGGCACUCCUAGCCGCGGAGGCGGGGCGGCUUGCCGAGUUCCACCGGAUGGAGUUGUCGGAGUAGAGGGCACCAGUGGGCCUGGGUUGCGUGGUGGAGCGGCAGUAGGUCCUCAUGCAAGCGUAGCAGCGGCCAGCACUCGUCCUCCGGGCCCGGUACAUGCGGUCGCUCCUCCAGCAGCUAUAACGGUGACUACUGAAGUAGGACUACUACCACGAACUGCCGACGAAGUAGUAGCUCGUGGAGCACUUGCAGCGGUGCCGGGCCCUGCUCGGCAGCGACGUGCGGUGCGGGAAGCCGGGUUGCGUCGAGAGGCAGCUGGAGUAGGAGCGUCUCUUGGUCUACGGGAAGAAGCACGAGCAACUAGAGUAGCGGUCGUGGUUCGACGGCCUCAAGCUCACGUACCCGAUGGGGCGCGGUCACGACGAGUACUUCGAGCACGACAUGUUGAAGCGGCCGCUCUUCCCGGCGUCGUACUCGCUCCUCGACGACCGGCGGCUCCCCCAGAGGGUGCAGGACGUGGACGAGGUGCUCUACCAGUGGCGCCGCGCCUGGUCGACCACCGCAGGCUAUGGAGUGUAGGACCUGCCACCGACCCUCGUCCGCCAUUCCGCCGACCACGCGCCAGAUGGCAGAGACCAUAACCGCGGAGACGACGCGACCUAACGGGGGCUCCCGGCGUCCCCCGUACACGCCCUCCUGCACGGCAGCCGUUCGCUGUACUUCGCCUACGCCGACCUCAAGUUCUUCCGCGCGCAGUCCCCGUAUUGCCGCUCGCACCGCCGGUAGCGCAGCCACUACCCGGGCCAGGGAAACCAGCACCUCGAUUGCCUGCCCCUGAUAGAACACGACGGCGUCAACGCCGAGCUCAAGGCCUGCCGCGGUGAGGACGACUUGGACUACCGCAAGCUCGCCAGUCGCAACCGCAGUCGCUUCUGCAACAGGCUGCACAGCCGCAUGUACACAAAGUACUGCUUCGAGCAUGUCUGCCGCCUCCUGCGCCCGAACCAAGACCGCCGUCUCCACCACGUCGUCCUGCCGUCGCGCCCGUUGGUCUCGUAUCUCCUCCACCACUCCAAGAAGGCCUACCACCCGCGGCGCUCGCUCAACCGCCGACCGCCGCUUGACGACUGCAGCUCGAUGGACACGCACGACCACCUCUUCGACUCCCUCGCCUCGGCCUCGACCUGGAUGCGCCUAGCGUUGAUGAUGUGGAAGGAGCGGCUCAAGCACCGGAACCAGUGGAAGCAGAGGCCACAGAGUUGGUAUGAGGUCUGGAUGCGUCGGAAGUUCAUGGUAACUAGUAGAUAAGAAGACCCGGAGGAUGGUUGAUACUUGACGUACGGGUACAUCGGGUAUCCUGAUACAUCGGGUAUCUAGAUCAAAGAAGUUGGAAGAGAAGUGUACGUGUACGAACGAACGUAAUCUCCCCUUUUUUUUAUACUACAGUAGAAUCCAAGAUGGGAUAAAACUUUGACUCCGGACGAGGCCACGAGGGGGGAUUGGAUUAAAGCCUCCCCAUAAAAACAGGGGCACUUAAACAAAAAAAGGACCGGGCGGCGUCGGGUCUAGGUUCGGGACAGAUCGGAACAUAUUGGGUCUGGCAUAUGCAUAUCAUGGGACCAGGCUUUUUUUUUGUAGUGUGCUGGGGUGCAGGUGCAUUCUGGACGGCUUAGGUUAGUAAGUGCGCUCGUCGAGGUAGUUAGAGCACUCGUAACUGCGUUGAGGUAUUCAGUGCAUCAUCUAGACGUGGCCGCCGAUAGAGCAGCGGCCGCUAGAGCAGCCUGCCGCCCGCGCUGUUACAACACUUAGAGGUUGAUAGCGCGUGUCCAUGGCGUAGGGCGCAGGGGGGAGAUCAGAACGAGCGCCGUUGUAGCUUGCUUGACAGCGGCGCGGUCACCGUGACCAAUUGGAUCGCCUCGCCCAUUGGAUCGAUGGGCCGCCGCGUACGCUAGCACCUAGAACAAGGCCAUCACGACGAGGAGCACUAGACCCAGGUGCAUCGCAGCCAACGGCAGCCGACACACGUGGUGGUCAUAGCAAUAAACUACACCGCCGAUUGGAUCCAUAGGCCGCCGUCUCCAUUAGUGUCUAGAUCGAUCCAAAACUCUAGCACGUCAAGGAGCGCUAACUUUCACUAGUGCUGCCCAUGGCACCGGUAGAAGGAAUGAUUCAAACCGUCUAGACUUGUCGGAGCCAACGCCAACAAAUGUAUUGUAGGCACUAGCACACGAUACACAAAAUAUAAAGUAGUAACUAUUACAAACGCGUACACUACUAUGUAUAAUAACCAACAUCCUUUACCACCUGCUCCUCAAUUGGCUAUAGUACCAUCUGUACCUCAAACCUCUUGACUACUUUCUGACCUAUCUUCUAACCAGUCUACUACUUUUAAGUCUAGCACUUCUAGCCAGUCUCUUACCCUUGCUUACCCUGCUAGAAUUACACUCACCGUAACAGUACAACAUUAAAAAACCACCGUAGGCUGUUGUAAUUUAUAAACACAACUUUUAAAUAUCUAGCUACUCGAACUAUUACUAGUCCUUUUGUUGAGCCUCGAGAGCUUACUUCUAAUGUAAUCAGUCAAGUAAAACCUUACAGUAUUACGCAUGCUGAUAAUGCCACUUAGGCUGCACCUCUGUCCGGAAUUGCUGCUUAGUAAUCUACGUGGACCAAGAUCCGUCAGGCUCAGCAGCCAGUAGUACUCACUCCACUAUGUUCUACUACCCCGUUUCUUACAAGUUCUAUGACGGUCACGUCUACUAUUCUCCCUAUACAAGUACGUCUAUUACCUUUACUAGAAAUGCAGAGUGCUACGACGCAUACUGAGGAUGUUGUUGAUACGAUCUCUAUUACCAAAGUUGUAAUCUUUCUUAUUCCAAUCCAUAUCGUUUUGUCUCAGUACAGUAUACGCAAUAUCCGCCAAACAAACAAGUUCUGUUCCCUUUGCACUGUCGUUCAACGAUUGGCUCCUUCCUGUGUUGGCAUCCAAGUCUCGACUCUGUGCGACGAAAACACUUCGCGUGGACUGGCAGUUCGAACUGGUUUUCGCACCCCAAACCAUACAACUUUCAAAACUCCUAUUCGUAUCGGUAUACAACCGUCCUGGUUUGCUCCAUGGAAAAGAAACCAGGGUGUCUUUUUAGUUUCUCAUGGUCUUCGUACUCUAUUACAAGUACCCUCGACGUCCCUAAUCUUAACUGCUGUACUACCUAACGAAGUAGUCGUUUGUACAUACCAUGUCGCCACAACCAAAAUGGUCCGCACUUUAUAUGUUGGAAACGCGGUUCCUCUUCUCCUUCAACGAAAGUUUUCCACUACGACGGUGUCGGUAUCCGUAGUACAGAUCAUCCUUUGUUUCCCUAGGAUCGAAGAAAAAGCUCAUGUACGAUCUAUUCCUUCCUGUAAACUUAUCCUACAAGACCACGCUGAGGGUCAGAGCAGUACUGAUACUCCUGAAGCCGCUGCACGAACAUAAACUGUCGUGCAUGUUCUACUUG